RNAcentral lists this transfer RNA (85 nucleotides) under Desulfitobacterium hafniense. Its description in RNAcentral is "tRNA-Tyr". It matches the Rfam family "tRNA". Rfam says of the family: Transfer RNA (tRNA) molecules are approximately 80 nucleotides in length. RNAcentral also lists the same sequence under 1 other name. The record is from RNAcentral. Lineage: Bacteria; Bacillati; Bacillota; Clostridia; Eubacteriales; Desulfitobacteriaceae.
GGAGGGGUUCCCGAGUGGCCAAAGGGAGCAGACUGUAAAUCUGCCGGCUCUGCCUUCGAAGGUUCGAAUCCUUCUCCCUCCACCA